This 684-nucleotide ribosomal RNA is filed under the name Clavispora lusitaniae. Its description in RNAcentral is "partial large subunit ribosomal RNA". It matches the Rfam family "Eukaryotic large subunit ribosomal RNA", at positions 77 to 836 of the family's 3401-position model. Lineage: Eukaryota; Fungi; Ascomycota; Pichiomycetes; Serinales; Metschnikowiaceae. The record is from RNAcentral.
GCCCCAGUAACGGCGAGUGAAGCGGCAAAAGCUCAAAUUUGAAAUCCUGCGGGAAUUGUAAUUUGAAGGUUUCGUGGUCUGAGUCGGCCGCGCCCAAGUCCAUUGGAACAUGGCGCCUGGGAGGGUGAGAGCCCCGUAUGGCGCACGCCGACUCUUUGUACACCGCGGCUCCGACGAGUCGAGUUGUUUGGGAAUGCAGCUCUAAGUGGGUGGUAAAUUCCAUCUAAAGCUAAAUAUUGGCGAGAGACCGAUAGCGAACAAGUACAGUGAUGGAAAGAUGAAAAGCACUUUGAAAAGAGAGUGAAACAGCACGUGAAAUUGUUGAAAGGGAAGGGCUUGCAAGCAGACACGGUUUUACCGGGCCAGCGUCGAAAAGGGGGGAGGAACAAGAACUCGAGAAUGUGGCGCGCACCUUCGGGCGCGCGUGUUAUAGCUCGUGUUGACGCCUCCAUCCCUUUUCGAGGCCUGCGAUUCUAGGACGCUGGCGUAAUGGUUGCAAGCCGCCCGUCUUGAAACACGGACCAAGGAGUCUAACGUCUAUGCGAGUGUUUGGGUGCAAAACCCCAGCGCGGAAUGAAAGUAAGAGGUUGGAGCCGCAAGGCGCACAAUCGACCGACCCUGAAGUGCUCGGACGGGUUUGAGUAGGAGCAUAGCUGUUGGGACCCGAAAGAUGGUGAACUAUGC